UCCGGUUUAUCACGCGGCAGUCUCGCUAGAGUCCCCAACUGAAUGAUGGUAACUAGCGACAGGGGUUGCGCUCGUUGCCGGACUUAACCGAACACCUCACAGCACGAGCUGACGACAGCCAUGCAGCACCUGUCACCGAUCCAGCCUAACUGAAGGAUACCAUCUCUGGUAACCGCGAUCGGGAUGUCAAACCCAGGUAAGGUUCUUCGCGUUGCAUCGAAUUAAUCCGCAUGCUCCGCCGCUUGUGCGGGCCCCCGUCAAUUCCUUUGAGUUUUAAUCUUGCGACCGUACUCCCCAGGCGGAGAGCUUAAUGCGUUAGCUGCGCCACUGAAGGGUAAACCCUCCAACGGCUAGCUCUCAUAGUUUACGGCGUGGACUAC
Molecule: unclassified non-coding RNA, 380 nt
Filed under: uncultured Pseudomonadota bacterium
Lineage: Bacteria; Pseudomonadati; Pseudomonadota
Description: uncultured proteobacterium contains 16S-23S intergenic spacer region
Source: RNAcentral